RNAcentral lists this long non-coding RNA (1467 nucleotides) under Callithrix jacchus (white-tufted-ear marmoset). RNAcentral's name for it is "lncRNA (ENSCJAG00000081267.1)". The record is from RNAcentral. Lineage: Eukaryota; Metazoa; Chordata; Mammalia; Primates; Cebidae.
UUUGCCGUGUACACAUUCAACCAGCAGAGCGAGGACUGGUAUGCCUACAAGCUGGUGCGUGUCCUGGAUGCCUGGAAGGAGCAGGGUUAUGAUAAGACGACAUUCUCCAUGAAUCUGCACCUGGGCCGAACCACGUGUGGGAAAUUUGAAGACGACAUUGACAACUGUCCUUUUCAGCAAGGCCCAGAGCUGAGCAAUACCCACACCUGCUUCUUCACCAUCGGAAUAGAACCCUGGAGGACACAUUUUGAACUCUGGAACAAGACAUGCUCAGCCGGGCGUUCCUGAGUGGGACCCAGCCACAGGCCUGGCCACAUGCUGUUGGCUCCUUUCCAGCACACUGGCCGUUCCUCAACACGGCCCUGCAGUGCCUGAGCAGCUCUGUGCUCGCGUGUUCUUAUUUUCCAUGUGUUAGAUACUCAUGCUCAGACGGAGGGCCUGGGCAGUUGAUGGAGUUAUUCUCAGCACAGCAGCCUCCUGGGCUCUCAAGGGGUGCAUGUCUACUCACUGUGUUAGCUGAGAACAACCGGCAGCUGUGGACACCCUGCCCACAUGUCCCAGACCACGCCUCAGCACGCCUCCUCUGCAAAGAUUUUACAAGUAACUAUUUUGGUCUUUGUAGGCCAUAUAGUCACUUUCUCAACUAUCCAACAAUGCCUUAGUGUGUUGAAAGCAGCCAUAGACAAAAAUAACCAGGAGUAGUCUUCCUCGGGCCGUGGUUGCCAACCCCUAAGGUCAAGUCUGAGAGUCACACUCCAUCUUCAGGAGGGAGGCAGGUGAAUGUCCCAGUCUCCCAGCGUCCGGGCACCCAAUUUAGAGGCGUGUGCCACAUGGUUCUCCGAGCUCCGCAGCAGGAUGAACGCCCGGCCCCAGUGUAAUACAUUGGUAACAGACACGCUGCGUUUCCCCUUCUCUGUUUCCCUUUCUCACUUGUGCCUCCUGGGAUCACCUCCAAAUAAACUACCUGCACCUGCCAGUCUGCGUUUCAGGGUCACCCUGCGGGGUCCCAGCACUGUGUAGACCAUUAUCACUGGGUGUGCCCUCCACAGACGUGCUGGGAGGGUGGUCCCUAGACCAUGGGCAUUCAGGCAAGCAGAGGGGAGAGCCAGGCCCGGAGACCUCCCUGUGGCUUGCAGGCACUGAGGUGGGCACGGCUGCCGCACUUGUCCUAUCUGGUCUCUGGACCCCACACAGCCCUGCCCUGCCUUGUUCCACACUUGAGCAGGUUUUCCUUUGAGACCCUCCCAUUAACUCCCCUGCGCGCUCCCAUCCUUGGUCCUUCUCUUGACCCUGACACAUCAGCAGAAGGAAGCUCAGAGGAGGCGCUUUAUCCACAGUGAUUCCCGCAAGUGUCUUCCAAAGAGUCAGCCCCACUCAUUUCAUUCGAACAUCAUUUCUGAGGCAGUUCCCAGGACAGGGUCUCAUGGGGAGUGAGCCCGCUGUGGGGGGUGACCUGGCCCAGGACCC